AAGAAUUAUGAGUUACUGAAGUGUAAGGUGACAGAUAAAAAGAGUGGAGAAACCCUGCUGUGUAAUGUCGGCCCCCAGUCCUCAUGUGAGAAAACAGGGAGCACAUCAGUGGGGAGAAACAAUACAUCAUCUGAAAAGAAUGACACUCCAACAAAACAAGGUUGGUGGAGGUUCAUCAUUUUGGGUUUAGCAACACUCAUGCUAAUUGUUCUGGCAGUCUACAUGUGGAAGAGAACUAAAGGUGAAAACAUUCAAAGAUGUCAUUUUUAUAAAAAAGAUUUACA
This is a long non-coding RNA of Anoplopoma fimbria (sablefish), 284 nucleotides long. RefSeq lists it as uncharacterized. The transcript is spliced from 3 exons. The record is from RefSeq and is a predicted model, not a curated record. NCBI's taxonomy places the organism in Eukaryota, Metazoa, Chordata, Actinopteri, Perciformes, Anoplopomatidae.